UAGGGAGACCUACCCAUUGAAGAAUCGAAAGCCGCAGGCGAAUAGAGAAUCAACUGGUCUACUCUAGGUCGGUGACGUGAGAUUGUGAAGUCUUUCAAACUAAUAUUUGGUUCGCGAGAGGGCUAUUAGCUCAGGUGGUUAGAGCGCACCCCUGAUAAGGGUGAGGUCCCUGGUUCGAGUCCAGGAUGGCCCACCUGAAUGGGGGUUUAGCUCAGCUGGUAGAGCGCCUGCUUUGCAAGCAGGAUGUCAGCGGUUCGAGUCCGCUAACCUCCACAUUAGGAAGAAACUAGCAACUAGGAAAGACCUAGACUGCUGGUGGAAACCAGCCAGAACCUUGAAAACUGCAUAUAGAUAGAUAAGAGAGCCGAAAUCGAAAGAUAGAAGCAAGUGAAGAACCAAGU
Molecule: transfer RNA, 401 nt
Filed under: Raphidiopsis mediterranea CHAB3326
Lineage: Bacteria; Bacillati; Cyanobacteriota; Cyanophyceae; Nostocales; Aphanizomenonaceae
Also listed under: 1 other name
Description: partial 16S-23S ribosomal RNA intergenic spacer
Rfam family: tRNA (bases 201-273)
Source: RNAcentral